This 333-nucleotide unclassified non-coding RNA is filed under the name uncultured Glomeraceae. Its description in RNAcentral is "partial contains 5.8S ribosomal RNA, internal transcribed spacer 2, and large subunit ribosomal RNA". The stretch from base 1 to 102 matches the Rfam family "5.8S ribosomal RNA", at positions 53 to 154 of the family's 154-position model. Lineage: Eukaryota; Fungi; Glomeromycota; Glomeromycetes; Glomerales; Glomeraceae. The record is from RNAcentral.
GUGCGAUAAGUAAUGUGAAUUGCAGUAUUCCGUGAAUCAUCGAAUCUUUGAACGCAUAUUGCACUCUUUGGUUUUCCAGAGAGUAUGCCUGUUUGAGGGUCAGUUAAAUAAAAAUCAGGGUUGUUGCUGCCUUUCGUGGUUAACGCUUCGGAAUUGGGUCGUCUUUGCCUUCGGCUAAGUGACCUAAAAUUUUAUAUGAUUUUUCGAACGUAUUUAAAUCAUUUACGUACGUUUGUAAUAUCGAAUAUAUUAGGUGUGGUCAUUCUCAUGAUUUCUGCCUAUAAUUUUUCAUUAUUUGACCUCAAAUCAGGUAAGAGUACCCGCUGAACUUAA